This 1603-nucleotide ribosomal RNA is filed under the name Salmonella enterica. RNAcentral's name for it is "partial 23S ribosomal RNA". It matches the Rfam family "Bacterial large subunit ribosomal RNA", at positions 1217 to 2802 of the family's 2925-position model. The record is from RNAcentral. Lineage: Bacteria; Pseudomonadati; Pseudomonadota; Gammaproteobacteria; Enterobacterales; Enterobacteriaceae. RNAcentral also lists the same sequence under 1 other name.
UGUGUUGUUGGGUAGGGGAGCGUUCUGUAAGCCUGUGAAGGUGUGUCGUGAGGCAUGCUGGAGGUAUCAGAAGUGCGAAUGCUGACAUAAGUAACGAUAAAGCGGGUGAAAAGCCCGCUCGCCGGAAGACCAAGGGUUCCUGUCCAACGUUAAUCGGGGCAGGGUGAGUCGACCCCUAAGGCGAGGCCGAAAGGCGUAGUCGAUGGGAAACGGGUUAAUAUUCCCGUACUUGGUGUUACUGCGAAGGGGGGACGGAGAAGGCUAUGUUGGCCGGGCGACGGUUGUCCCGGUUUAAGCGUGUAGGUGUGUGUUCCAGGUAAAUCCGGUUCACUUUAACACUGAGGCGUGACGACGAGGCACUACGGUGCUGAAGCAACAAAUGCCCUGCUUCCAGGAAAAGCCUCUAAGCAUCAGGUAACACGAAAUCGUACCCCAAACCGACACAGGUGGUCAGGUAGAGAAUACCAAGGCGCUUGAGAGAACUCGGGUGAAGGAACUAGGCAAAAUGGUGCCGUAACUUCGGGAGAAGGCACGCUGACACGUAGGUGAAGUGAUUUACUCAUGGAGCUGAAGUCAGUCGAAGAUACCAGCUGGCUGCAACUGUUUAUUAAAAACACAGCACUGUGCAAACACGAAAGUGGACGUAUACGGUGUGACGCCUGCCCGGUGCCGGAAGGUUAAUUGAUGGGGUCAGCGCAAGCGAAGCUCCUGAUCGAAGCCCCGGUAAACGGCGGCCGUAACUAUAACGGUCCUAAGGUAGCGAAAUUCCUUGUCGGGUAAGUUCCGACCUGCACGAAUGGCGUAAUGAUGGCCAGGCUGUCUCCACCCGAGACUCAGUGAAAUUGAACUCGCUGUGAAGAUGCAGUGUACCCGCGGCAAGACGGAAAGACCCCGUGAACCUUUACUAUAGCUUGACACUGAACAUUGAGCCUUGAUGUGUAGGAUAGGUGGGAGGCUUUGAAGUGUGGACGCCAGUCUGCAUGGAGCCGACCUUGAAAUACCACCCUUUAAUGUUUGAUGUUCUAACGUGGACCCGUGAUCCGGGUUGCGGACAGUGUCUGGUGGGUAGUUUGACUGGGGCGGUCUCCUCCUAAAGAGUAACGGAGGAGCACGAAGGUUGGCUAAUCCUGGUCGGACAUCAGGAGGUUAGUGCAAUGGCAUAAGCCAGCUUGACUGCGAGCGUGACGGCGCGAGCAGGUGCGAAAGCAGGUCAUAGUGAUCCGGUGGUUCUGAAUGGAAGGGCCAUCGCUCAACGGAUAAAAGGUACUCCGGGGAUAACAGGCUGAUACCGCCCAAGAGUUCAUAUCGACGGCGGUGUUUGGCACCUCGAUGUCGGCUCAUCACAUCCUGGGGCUGAAGUAGGUCCCAAGGGUAUGGCUGUUCGCCAUUUAAAGUGGUACGCGAGCUGGGUUUAGAACGUCGUGAGACAGUUCGGUCCCUAUCUGCCGUGGGCGCUGGAGAACUGAGGGGGGCUGCUCCUAGUACGAGAGGACCGGAGUGGACGCAUCACUGGUGUUCGGGUUGUCAUGCCAAUGGCACUGCCCGGUAGCUAAAUGCGGAAGAGAUAAGUGCUGAAAGCAUCUAAGCACGAAACUUGCCCCGA